AAUAGAUGCAAAACACUGUUUUUUUCACGUUUGAUGGUUUGUCAUUACUGUCAGUUCAGAGGGAAUAAAAUAAAAAGAUGGAGGAAGCCCGGUUAACAGAAGGAACUAGGGCACUAACCUGAUGUUAAAUCCUGAUGACAAGUUCUACUUCACUCCACUUGGGCUUCAUUUGGAUGUCCUCUGACUCAACACUCUCCACCAAGGACGCCCCAACUACAUAGGUAGACAAGAACUGCACACAGAUGGGGGACCUUUAAGGCCGGCAGUCUUACCCAAUGGUGUACAUAAACUUUGAGAAGUGUUGAAGCCACCAGUCGGCCAUAUUGACAAUCCCCAGUAGGAGCAGUCCUUCAUAGGAAUGAAUGGAAUUCUACAGUAUUUCAAUUAAAUGU
Long non-coding RNA from Oncorhynchus masou masou (cherry salmon), 392 nucleotides. RefSeq lists it as uncharacterized. NCBI's taxonomy places the organism in Eukaryota, Metazoa, Chordata, Actinopteri, Salmoniformes, Salmonidae. The record is from RefSeq and is a predicted model, not a curated record. The transcript has 3 exons.